RNAcentral lists this ribosomal RNA (460 nucleotides) under uncultured bacterium. RNAcentral's name for it is "partial 16S ribosomal RNA". It matches the Rfam family "Bacterial small subunit ribosomal RNA", at positions 338 to 795 of the family's 1533-position model. The record is from RNAcentral.
CCUACGGGUGGCAGCAGUGAGGAAUAUUGGUCAAUGGACGAGAGUCUGAACCAGCCAAGUAGCGUGAAGGAUGACUGCCCUAUGGGUUGUAAACUUCUUUUAUAUGGGAAUAAAAUGUUCCACGUGUGGGAUUUUGUAUGUACCAUAUGAAUAAGGAUCGGCUAACUCCGUGCCAGCAGCCGCGGUAAUACGGAGGAUCCGAGCGUUAUCCGGAUUUAUUGGGUUUAAAGGGAGCGUAGGUGGAUUGUUAAGUCAGUUGUGAAAGUUUGCGGCUCAACCGUAAAAUUGCAGUUGAAACUGGCAGUCUUGAGGACAGUAGAGGUUGGCGGAAUUCGUGGUGUAGCGGUGAAAUGCUUAGAUAUCACGAAGAACUCCGAUUGCGAAGGCAGUUCACUGGACUGCAACUGACACUGAGGCUCGAAAGUGUGGGUAUCAAACAGGAUUAGAUACCCUUGUAGUC